GACGAACGCUGGCGGCAUGCCUAAUACAUGCAAGUCGAGCGAACAGAUGAAGUGCUUGCACUUCUGACGUUAGCGGCGAACGGGUGAGUAACACGUAAGGAAUCUACCUAUAAGCGGGGGAUAACAUUCGGAAACGGGUGCUAAUACCGCAUAAUAGCUUCUUCCGCAUGGAAGAAGAUUGAAAGACGGCUCUGCUGUCACUUAUAGAUGUACUGGCGGUGCAUUAGUUAGUUGGUGGGGUAACGGCCUACCAAGACGAUGAUGCAUAGCCGACCUGAGAGGGUGAUCGGCCACAUUGGGACUGAGACACGGCCCAAACUCCUACGGGAGGCAGCAGUAGGGAAUCUUCCGCAAUGGGCGAAAGCCUGACGGAGCAAUGCCGCGUGAGUGAAGAAGGCCUUCGGGUCGUAAAACUCUGUUAUAAGAGAAGAACAAAUUGUAGAGUAACUGCUACAGUCUUGACGGUAUCUUAUCAGAAAGCCACGGCUAACUAUGUGCCAGCCGCCGCCGAAA
RNAcentral lists this ribosomal RNA (513 nucleotides) under uncultured bacterium. RNAcentral describes it as "partial 16S ribosomal RNA". It matches the Rfam family "Bacterial small subunit ribosomal RNA", at positions 28 to 523 of the family's 1533-position model. The record is from RNAcentral.